UACAGAGGUCUCAAGCGUUGUUCGGAAUUACUGGGCGUAAAGCGAGCGUAGGUUGCUCGGCAAGUCAGUGGUGAAAUCCCAGAGCUUAACUUUGGAACUGCCAUUGAAACUGCCGAGCUGGAAUCUCAGAGGGGAUAGCGGAAUUCCAAAUGUAGGGGUGAAAUCCGUAGAUAUUUGGAGGAACACCGGUGGCGAAGGCGGCGUUCUGGACUGCAACUGACACUGAUAAACGAAAGCCAGGGUAGCAAACGGG
Molecule: ribosomal RNA, 253 nt
Filed under: uncultured bacterium
Lineage: Bacteria
Description: partial 16S ribosomal RNA
Rfam family: Bacterial small subunit ribosomal RNA
Source: RNAcentral